UCGGGAAUUUUGGGCAAUGGGCGAAAGCCUGACCCAGCAACGCCGCGUGAAGGAUGAAGUAUUUCGGUAUGUAAACUUCGAAAGAAUAGGAAGAAUAAAUGACGGUACUAUUUAUAAGGUCCGGCUAACUACGUGCCAGCAGCCGCGGUAAUACGUAGGGACCAAGCGUUGUUCGGAUUUACUGGGCGUAAAGGGCGCGUAGGCGGCGUAAUAAGUCACUUGUGAAAUCUCCGGGCUUAACUCGGAGCGGCCAAGUGAUACUGUUAGGCUAGAGUGCAGAAAGGGCAAUCGGAAUUCUUGGUGUAGCGGUGAAAUGCGUAGAUAUCAAGAGGAACACCUGAGGCGAAGGCGGGUUGCUAGGCUGACACUGACGCUGAGGCGCGAAAGCUAGGGGAGCAAACGGGAUUAGAUACCCCAGUAGUCCCUGAGCGGGCUGGCAAGGCGCAU
Molecule: ribosomal RNA, 447 nt
Filed under: uncultured bacterium
Lineage: Bacteria
Description: bacterial SSU rRNA
Rfam family: Bacterial small subunit ribosomal RNA
Source: RNAcentral